UGGGAGGCAGAUAUACAAAUUGAGCAGCAAUAAUACUGUAAUUGUUACCUAGAAUAAAUUGCCUUUUGAUGACCAGUGCAAAUUGAAUGAAAUCAUGAGGGACUGAUGGGGGCAGAAAGCU
Non-coding RNA from Octodon degus (degu), 121 nucleotides. Lineage: Eukaryota; Metazoa; Chordata; Mammalia; Rodentia; Octodontidae. The record is from Ensembl.